UUAUUUUUUAUCCAAGCCUUAUCCCUAUUGGGUGGGAUUAUAUUAUGUUGUUUAUAAACUUAUAUUAGAAUGAGCUUGUUGGUUUGAGUCGUAAGAAGUUAGUUUGCUAAAGGUCUAGUGUUUAAAUCCUUGCGUGAAUGUGGGUGAUAAAUUUUUUUGCGAUAUGGAUUUUUUUCAAUUUUCAAUUUUUUUGUUUUUCUCUUUUCUCUUUCUUCCCAAGAAAAUUCUAACAUUAGUUUUCCCUUUCUCUGCAUAUUUCCUGUCAAUUGACAAAUUCCUAUUUCCUCGCUCUCCGUUCUCUGUUGCAAUUUUGUUAUUCAAUUUCAGUAUUCUGGUUCUUCGGUGUUGGCG
This 351-nucleotide long non-coding RNA is filed under the name Gossypium raimondii (Peruvian cotton). Its description in RNAcentral is "long non-coding RNA (GRAI_LNC010397)". The record is from RNAcentral. Lineage: Eukaryota; Viridiplantae; Streptophyta; Magnoliopsida; Malvales; Malvaceae.